Molecule: transfer RNA, 88 nt
Filed under: Streptomyces roseolus
Lineage: Bacteria; Bacillati; Actinomycetota; Actinomycetes; Kitasatosporales; Streptomycetaceae
Description: tRNA-Ala
Source: RNAcentral
UGCCGGGCUCGGCCGGGGCCCCGGCGUCGGCGGCGUCGGUUCCGGCGGGGGGCCCGUCGGCGGCGGUUCCGGGACCGGGGGCCGCCAG